GCGUAACGCGUAUGCAAUCUGCCUUGUACAGAGGGAUAGCCCAGAGAAAUUUGGAUUAAUACCUUAUAGUGUUAUUGAAUGGCAUCAUUUAAUAAUUAAAGUUCCAGCGGUACAAGAUGAGCAUGCGUCCUAUUAGCUAGUUGGUGUGGUAACGGCAUACCAAGGCUACGAUAGGUAGGGGUCCUGAGAGGGAGAUCCCCCACACUGGUACUGAGACACGGACCAGACUCCUACGGGAGGCAGCAGUGAGGAAUAUUGGACAAUGGGCGCAAGCCUGAUCCAGCCAUGCCGCGUGCAGGAAGACGCAUCUAUGGUGUGUAAACUGCUUUUGUACGGGAAGAAACACUCCCUCGUGAGGGAGCUUGACGGUACCGUAAGAAU
Molecule: ribosomal RNA, 381 nt
Filed under: uncultured bacterium
Lineage: Bacteria
Description: bacterial SSU rRNA
Rfam family: Bacterial small subunit ribosomal RNA
Source: RNAcentral